AUUGAACGCUGGCGGCGUGCUUAACACAUGCAAGUCGAACGAGUGGCGGACGGGUGAGUAAUGCUUGGGAAUCUGGCUUAUGGAUGGGGAUAACGACGGGAAACUGUAGCUACUACGGCGAACCAGAGGAUGAGCACAAGUGGGAUUAGGUAGUUGGUGGGGUAAUGGACUACCAAUCAGACGAUCUAUAGCUGAUCUGAGAGGAUGAAGAGCCACACUGGGACUGAGACACGGCCCGUAAUCCUCCGGGAGGCAGCAGUAGGGAAUAUUGCGCAAUGGGCGUAAGCUGACGCAGCAACGCCGCUUGAAUGAAGAAGGCCUUCGGGUCGUAAAGUUCUUUCUUUGACGAGGCGUUACUCACAGAAGAAGCACCUGCUAACGCCGUGCCAGCAGCCGCGGUAAUUC
Molecule: ribosomal RNA, 405 nt
Filed under: uncultured bacterium
Lineage: Bacteria
Description: partial 16S ribosomal RNA
Rfam family: Bacterial small subunit ribosomal RNA
Source: RNAcentral